Molecule: long non-coding RNA, 1254 nt
Filed under: Vigna radiata
Lineage: Eukaryota; Viridiplantae; Streptophyta; Magnoliopsida; Fabales; Fabaceae
Description: long non-coding RNA (VRAD_LNC008263)
Source: RNAcentral
AGUAAAAUAAACUUCUUCGAAAGCUAAAAUUUAGUUUCGCAUAAAAAUUUUAUAUAUAAAAUUUGGACAUUUCUAAACGAGUAUUUUCUUUGAAUUAAAAAUAAAAUUUUGUAAAAAUAUAUUAAGACUUUUAUAAAUUAUUUUUAAAAAAAUUAUUUUAUUUCUUUCCUGAUGGUGAGUUAAAGAUGAGUGGGAGGAAGGUUUGGUUGCUUGGGUUGUAGUGUUUGAAAGAUAUUAUGGGUGGAGGUUUUAAUUGAAUAGAAGAUAAAGAACGAGUGGGAGUUUUGGACUGAGUAAAAAGAAGAGAAGAUAAAGCUUGGAAGAGUUUUGUAGGUGGUUGGAAGGAGAGAAAAGAAAAUAGGAGUAGAGGAAGAGAUCUUUCCUAGCCUCGAGAUGCAGUUAGAUCCGAAGGAAAAGAGAUAGGUUUUAGUUUCAUUUUACAGUGAAACGGAUGUGGACAUCCGUUUGUCCUUUAACAGAGGUUCACAUCCGUUUUUCCUUCAAUGAUGUACGGAUAUUGACAUCCGUUUAAAUAAUAUUGAAGGGAAAAAAAAGGAAUGGGGAGGUGCAGGGAAUAGUAUGUGGUGGUGGAGGGAAUAACUCCCUCAAAAAAUUUGAACCUGGCCUAACCCACCAUGGGUUGACUCACUGGCUCACUUAAUUACAUAUUUUUAAAAUCCAAAAAAGUUACAAUUUUUUUAUGAUUCAAAUUCAAAUAAGUUCACUCUAAAAUGAAGUUAAACUCAAAAGACAAUUCAAAAUAAAAAAAAAAUUAACAUACAUAACUCAAAUGUAAUCCAAAAGCAAACCCAAAAAAUGAAUAAAUAAAUUUAUAAUAUUGAUAAUUUUUGUGUUAUUUAUCCAUUUAUAAUAUUAGAGUCUUCAAUGGAUAAAUUUAUAAUAUUUUGUUCUCUUGAAACAUCUUUUUAUUUAUUCCCAUUUAUAAUACAAUAAAAAAAAUGUUAACUAAUAAUAUUGAAACAUAAAAUAAAACAUAAUUAAAUUAAACUAGGUGGGUUGGUGAGCCAACCCGGCUCACCUCAGGUCAACCCGGGCAAGUCGGGUUCUAAGUGAGUUGGGUGAAAACUGGCCCGCAUCAACAAAUUUCAUUUUUUCCAAACCCAACCCCGCUCAAAACCGUGGUGGGUCAGGUUGCCCACAGAUUCUAACCCAUUUUGACAGCACUGCUCGUGGUAUUGGGAUUGUUAACCUUUUUACUUUUUUUUUCAUUGGUAAUUCUUUAUGUUCCUAGAU